RNAcentral lists this ribosomal RNA (1386 nucleotides) under Kocuria sp. RNAcentral's name for it is "bacterial SSU rRNA". It matches the Rfam family "Bacterial small subunit ribosomal RNA". The record is from RNAcentral. Lineage: Bacteria; Bacillati; Actinomycetota; Actinomycetes; Micrococcales; Micrococcaceae.
AGUCGAACGAUGAUGCCCAGCUUGCUGGGCGGAUUAGUGGCGAACGGGUGAGUAAUACGUGAGUAACCUGCCCUCGACUCUGGGAUAAGCCUGGGAAACUGGGUCUAAUACUGGAUACUACCUCUUACCGCAUGGUGGGUGGUGGAAAGGGUUUUACUGGUUUUGGAUGGGCUCACGGCCUAUCAGCUUGUUGGUGGGGUAAUGGCUCACCAAGGCGACGACGGGUAGCCGGCCUGAGAGGGUGACCGGCCACACUGGGACUGAGACACGGCCCAGACUCCUACGGGAGGCAGCAGUGGGGAAUAUUGCACAAUGGGCGGAAGCCUGAUGCAGCGACGCCGCGUGAGGGAUGACGGCCUUCGGGUUGUAAACCUCUUUCAGUAGGGAAGAAGCGAGAGUGACGGUACCUGCAGAAGAAGCGCCGGCUAACUACGUGCCAGCAGCCGCGGUAAUACGUAGGGCGCAAGCGUUGUCCGGAAUUAUUGGGCGUAAAGAGCUCGUAGGCGGUUUGUCGCGUCUGCUGUGAAAGCCCGGGGCUCAACCCCGGGUCUGCAGUGGGUACGGGCAGACUAGAGUGCAGUAGGGGAGACUGGAAUUCCUGGUGUAGCGGUGAAAUGCGCAGAUAUCAGGAGGAACACCGAUGGCGAAGGCAGGUCUCUGGGCUGUUACUGACGCUGAGGAGCGAAAGCAUGGGGAGCGAACAGGAUUAGAUACCCUGGUAGUCCAUGCCGUAAACGUUGGGCACUAGGUGUGGGGGACAUUCCACGUUUUCCGCGCCGUAGCUAACGCAUUAAGUGCCCCGCCUGGGGAGUACGGCCGCAAGGCUAAAACUCAAAGGAAUUGACGGGGGCCCGCACAAGCGGCGGAGCAUGCGGAUUAAUUCGAUGCAACGCGAAGAACCUUACCAAGGCUUGACAUUCACCGGACCGCCCCAGAGAUGGGGUUUCCCUUCGGGGCUGGUGGACAGGUGGUGCAUGGUUGUCGUCAGCUCGUGUCGUGAGAUGUUGGGUUAAGUCCCGCAACGAGCGCAACCCUCGUUCUAUGUUGCCAGCACGUGAUGGUGGGGACUCAUAGGAGACUGCCGGGGUCAACUCGGAGGAAGGUGGGGAUGACGUCAAAUCAUCAUGCCCCUUAUGUCUUGGGCUUCACGCAUGCUACAAUGGCCGGUACAAAGGGUUGCGAUACUGUGAGGUGGAGCUAAUCCCAAAAAGCCGGUCUCAGUUCGGAUUGAGGUCUGCAACUCGACCUCAUGAAGUCGGAGUCGCUAGUAAUCGCAGAUCAGCAACGCUGCGGUGAAUACGUUCCCGGGCCUUGUACACACCGCCCGUCAAGUCACGAAAGUUGGUAACACCCGAAGCCGGUGGCCUAACCCCUUGUGGGAGGGAG